CAGCAGCCACGGUAAUACGUAGGGUGCGAGCGUUAAUCGGAAUCACUGGGCGUAAAGCGUGCGCAGGCGGUUGUGUAAGACAGGUGUGAAAUCCCCGGGCUUAACCUGGGAACUGCGCUUGUGACUGCACAGCUAGAGUAUGGCAGAGGGGGGUGGAAUUCCACGUGUAGCAGUGAAAUGCGUAGAGAUGUGGAGGAACACCGAUGGCGAAGGCAGCCCCCUGGGCCAAUACUGACGCUCAUGCACGAAAGCGUGGGGAGCAAACAGGAUUAGAUACCCGCGUAGUCCCUGUCUCUUAUAC
RNAcentral lists this ribosomal RNA (301 nucleotides) under uncultured bacterium. RNAcentral's name for it is "partial 16S ribosomal RNA". It matches the Rfam family "Bacterial small subunit ribosomal RNA", at positions 509 to 807 of the family's 1533-position model. The record is from RNAcentral.